Long non-coding RNA from Parasteatoda tepidariorum (common house spider), 818 nucleotides. NCBI's taxonomy places the organism in Eukaryota, Metazoa, Arthropoda, Arachnida, Araneae, Theridiidae. The record is from RefSeq and is a predicted model, not a curated record.
GUAUAUUUAACAAAACCUGUCUAAUAAACAGGUAUAUACAAUAAUAAAAACACGCAUGUACUAUAAAAUUCGAUUGCAUCAAGUUUUCAGAGUUCUAAAACUAUAUUUUUUCUUCCAGGACAACAUCAGAAUUGACCUUCACAAAGUUACAACCGUUUCUCUCGACCAUCAAAACACAACGUUUUAUUUCUGGGCAACACUCAUAUAAUUCAAGCCAUGAAUUUCUUUUCCGAAUUUUUUUUUCUUUUUAUCUUCAAAGUCUAUUGAUUCGGUCAAGAAUAAGAAUUCUGCAAGCUCAAUAUAUUGGGAACUAAAGUUGAAGUAUACGACGACAGCACAAAAGAAUCCAUAGCUACCUGGUCAUAGUUGAAUAUCAAGAAAAAGUGAAAAAAAAUCUUAUUUUCCAUGGUGGAACUUAACCUUUUAAAGGUUUUAUCCUCGCAAAGCAAUAUUUGCUAUUCGUUGCUAUGGAAUUAGAAAUGGAGAAUUUUCUUUUAAGGAAUAACAUGAAAAUAAAAUGAAAACUAUAAUAAAGAGUACAAUAUCUGGCAAUAAUUCCCCAAAAAUAUUGCAUACUCAUCAUAAAGCAAACAAACGAAAAGUCGAAUUUCAAAUAAAUAUGACAAAAAGAAGAAGAUGAAAUGAAAAAAGUUAUAUGGCAAUUUCAUCCUAAGAUCUUAUUGACUUUUAACUUGAAAGAGCUUAUAUAUUUUUUCGCAUUAUCUUUGCUUUGUUAUAAAAUGAGACUUUCAAAGUAAUUUUAUGAUAUCUGCAGACCAUUGUAGAACGUUAUAUAAAUAAAAUUUAAUUUGUUUGAA